This 492-nucleotide ribosomal RNA is filed under the name uncultured bacterium. RNAcentral describes it as "partial 16S ribosomal RNA". It matches the Rfam family "Bacterial small subunit ribosomal RNA", at positions 29 to 507 of the family's 1533-position model. The record is from RNAcentral.
AGUGAACGCUGGCGGUAGGCCUAACACAUGCAAGUCGAACGGCAGCACAGUAAGAGCUUGCUCUUACGGGUGGCGAGUGGCGGACGGGUGAGGAAUACAUCGGAAUCUACUUUUUCGUGGGGGAUAACGUAGGGAAACUUAAGCUAAUACCGCAUACGACCUACGGGUGAAAGCAGGGGAUCUUCGGACCUUGCGCGAUUGAAUGAGCCGAUGUCGGAUUAGCUAGUUGGCGGGGUAAAGGCCAACCAAGGCGACGAUCCGUAGCUGGUCUGAGAGGAUGAUCAGCCACACUGGAACUGAGACACGGUCCAGACUCCUACGGGAGGCAGCAGUGGGGAAUAUUGGACAAUGGGCGCAAGCCUGAUCCAGCCAUACCGCGUGGGUGAAGAAGGCCUUCGGGUUGUAAAGCCCUUUUGUUGGGAAAGAAAAGCAGCAGGUUAAUACCCCGCUGUUCUGACGGUACCCAAAGAAUAAGCACCGGCUAACUUCGUG